Molecule: ribosomal RNA, 879 nt
Filed under: uncultured bacterium
Lineage: Bacteria
Description: bacterial SSU rRNA
Rfam family: Bacterial small subunit ribosomal RNA
Source: RNAcentral
AACGAACGCUGGCGGCGUGCUUAACACAUGCAAGUCGAACGCGAAAGUUUUCUUCGGAAGACGAGUAGAGUGGCGCACGGGUGAGUAACGCGUAAGUUAUCUACCUCGGCAUCUGGAAUAACUCACCGAAAGGUGUGCUAAUACCGGAUACGUUGAGUAAUCAAGAAAGGUGGCCUCUGAAUAUGCUACUGUGCUGGGAUGAGCUUGCGUACCAUUAGCUAGUUGGUAGGGUAAUGGCCUACCAAGGCGACGAUGGUUAGCGGGUCUGAGAGGAUGAUCCGCCACACUGGAACUGGAACACGGACCAGACUCCUACGGGAGGCAGCAGUGAGGAAUAUUGCGCAAUGGGGGCAACCCUGACGCAGCGACGCCGCGUGGAUGAUGAAGGCCUUCGGGUCGUAAAAUCCUGUCAAGUGGAAAGAAGUGCAUGGUGGUUAAUACCCAUCAUGUUUGACGGUACCACUGAAGGAAGCACCGGCUAACUCCGUGCCAGCAGCCGCGGUAAUACGGAGGGUGCAAGCGUUGUUCGGAAUUACUGGGCGUAAAGCGCGCGUAGGCGGUUUUAUAAGUCAGAUGUGAAAGCCCAUGGCUCAACCAUGGACGUGCAUUUGAAACUGUGAGACUUGAGUAUUGGAGGGGGUGGUGGAAUUCCCGGUGUAGAGGUGAAAUUCGUAGAUAUCGGGAGGAAUACCAGUGGCGAAGGCGACCACCUGGCCAAAUACUGACGCUGAGGUGCGAAAGCGUGGGGAGCAAACAGGAUUAGAUACCCUGGUAGUCCACGCCGUAAACGAUGUCAACUAGGUGUUGGGACGGUUAAUCGUCUCAUUGCCGCAGCUAACGCAUUAAGUUGACCGCCUGGGGAGUACGGUCGCAAGAUUA